Varanus komodoensis (Komodo dragon) is the source of this 128-nucleotide long non-coding RNA. RefSeq lists it as uncharacterized. The record is from RefSeq and is a predicted model, not a curated record. The transcript is spliced from 3 exons. Lineage: Eukaryota; Metazoa; Chordata; Lepidosauria; Squamata; Varanidae.
GUGCACUGUGCUUAGGAAUUCAUUCAUAUUUUUUUCAAACUAUAGUCCGACCUCUCAGCAGUCUGUGGGACAGUGAACUGGUUCCCUGUUUAAAAAGUUUGAGGACCCCUGAACUAAACCGUCCACUG